RNAcentral lists this ribosomal RNA (253 nucleotides) under uncultured bacterium. Its description in RNAcentral is "partial 16S ribosomal RNA". It matches the Rfam family "Bacterial small subunit ribosomal RNA", at positions 524 to 776 of the family's 1533-position model. The record is from RNAcentral.
UACGGAAGGGGCAAGCGUUGUUCGGAAUCAUUGGGCGUAAAGGGCGUGUAGGUGGUUCUGUAUGUCUACCGUGAAAGCGUACGGCUCAACCGUAUUUAGUCGGUAGAAACUGCAGGACUUGAGGCUGGGAGGGGCUGGUGGAAUUCCCGGUGUAGAGGUGAAAUUCGUAGAUAUCGGGAGGAACACCAGUGGCGAAGGCGGCGACCUGGGCCAAUACUGACGCUGAGGUGCGAAAGCGUGGGGAGCAAACAGG